GACGAACGCUGGCGGCGUGCUUAACACAUGCAAGUCGAACGGAAAGGCCCUGCUUUUGUGGGGUGCUCGAGUGGCGAACGGGUGAGUAACACGUGAGUAUCCUGCCCUUGACUUUGGGAUAACUUCAGGAAACUGGGGCUAAUACCGGAUAGGAGCUCCUGCUGCAUGGUGGGGGUUGGAAAGUUUCGGCGGUUGGGGAUGGACUGGCGGCUUAUCCGCUUGUUGGUGGGGUAGUGGCUUACCCAGGCUUUGACGGGUAGCGCGCCUGAGAGGGUGACCGGCCACAGUGGGACUGAGGUAAGGCAGAGGGUGCGACGGGAGGGAGCAGUGGGGAAGAUUGCAGAAGGGGCGGAGGCCGAGUGCAGCAACGCCGCGUGCGGGAUGACGGCCUUCGGGGUGUAAAACGCUUGCGCCUGUGACGAAGCGUGAGUGACGGUAAUGGGUAAAGAAGCCCCGGCUAACUACGUG
This 468-nucleotide ribosomal RNA is filed under the name uncultured bacterium. Its description in RNAcentral is "partial 16S ribosomal RNA". It matches the Rfam family "Bacterial small subunit ribosomal RNA", at positions 28 to 507 of the family's 1533-position model. The record is from RNAcentral.